RNAcentral lists this transfer RNA (53 nucleotides) under Hypostomus albopunctatus. RNAcentral describes it as "partial transfer RNA-Phe". The record is from RNAcentral. Lineage: Eukaryota; Metazoa; Chordata; Actinopteri; Siluriformes; Loricariidae.
GCCAGUGUAGCUUAAAUAAAGCAUAACACUGAAGAUGUUAAGAUGAGGCCUAU